AUUAGGAUGCCCAGUGUAUUUCUGUUCAUAUGUACAUGCAUUGUGUAUGGUUUAUUUGUCCUAUCUGCCAGUGUCUAAGCGUGACAAGCAGCAAAGAGGGAGGGGGUAUUUCAAAUACAAAGCAAAAUGUGCACAAAAUAGAUGCGCCUCACACUGUCAUAGUAUAGACUGGAACAAAAUACACAUUGUAUAUAUAUAAUUACUACUAUUAUCCAGUGCUCAUGAUUUAUGUUCACAUAGAUACAUGGUAACAACAACAUACCUGGUAUUAUGGACAAUGACUACUCCAUUGCCACAACUGUAGAAUACACCAGACUGGCCAAAAGUGCUCCACUGCCUCAACUGUAGAAUACACCGGACUGGCCAAAAGUUGUCCAUAGCCACAACUAUAGAACACACUGGACCGACCAAAAGAUGCCUACAUAUGACCAAUAACUACAGAUAUGCUCUCCUGGACCAUGGUUUGUUGUUUAACCACUGUUACCUGACCAAAAAUUCAAAAACCACUGUCACCUCUUUUCUGAAUCAGAAGAUGGCUGACUCUCUGAUAUACUACUAGAAAAAAGCAUAGCCCAAAAAGCAUGAAUGAAUGAUGGAUCUGAACAUGUACUUCAUUAGUGAUGUGCAUAGCACAAAAAAUAUGGAUGGCAAUACAUGGCUGACGGAAAUGGUAACUUCAAAAAUUACAUGACAACCAAAACUUUAUGCAAGUCUAUGAAGAAAAUCAUUGUAUCAUUUUUCUUUAAUUAAUUUCGAAACAUACCUUCCUCUUGCAGCAGUCUUGCUCAUUCGGCCCUUCAACAGCAGUUCACCGAUUAGUUUAUCAGUCGGCGGCGGCAGCAGUGGUCUUCAGCACGGCAGCAGGCAGCACGAGCGGAGAAGGUAGUGAGAGAAGGAGAAGAAGCAGCAGAAACUAGCAGACACCCCGCACCCGUUGUGGCGGCCUGGAGGGGCGGCGAGAGUUGGCAAGGCAGGCGGCCAAUGGUUGGCAGUAGUGAGAAGCGAGUGAAAGACCUGGUUGACUUGGGGAAAGGAGGAGAACAGAGGACUGGUCGAUUUAGGGAAAGAAGAGCAGAUAAGGUUUGGUAGAUUUGGGGGAAAGGAGGAGGAGAGACGAGCGUGCGUGACAGCAGGUAGUCGGUGUAUUGGGCUUGGAUAUAUUUGAGCUGGGCCAAAUGCUUAUAGUGUACUUAAUUAUCCUUUUCAAUUAUGAAAUGGUGGGUCGUGGCACCCAUUUUAAUUUUGCAUGUUCUGUUAGGUUGCCUUCUGUAUGCCAGUUAGUAUUCAGUUUUCUUUUCUUUUGUUUGUUUGUAUUUCUUAAAAGCUAAUGUUGUUGCACAGUUUUUUUAACCUUUUCUUUUUGCUGGGAGAAAGAUGAUGCUCUUUCUUAGAAAAUUACUUAUUAGAUGGAACGGUAGUCACCUUGCAAAGUUCUUCCACCAAAUGUUUUUGUGUGUGCAACUUAUGAUCGGUUUUUCUAUUCAUUUAUUCUACAGUUUUAUUCUGCAGAAA
RNAcentral lists this long non-coding RNA (1512 nucleotides) under Triticum aestivum (bread wheat). RNAcentral's name for it is "long non-coding RNA (TAES_LNC006223)". Lineage: Eukaryota; Viridiplantae; Streptophyta; Magnoliopsida; Poales; Poaceae. The record is from RNAcentral.